GAUGAACGCUGGCGGCGUGCUUAACACAUGCAAGUCGAACGGUGAAGCAGGAGCUUGCUCCUGUGGAUCAGUGGCGAACGGGUGAGUAACACGUGAGUAACCUGCCCCAGACUCUGGGAUAAGCGUUGGAAACGACGUCUAAUACCGGAUACGAGACGAGAAGGCAUCUUCAUCGUCUGGAAAGAACUUCGGUCUGGGAUGGACUCGCGGCCUAUCAGGUAGUUGGUGAGGUAACGGCCCACCAAGCCUACGACGGGUAGCCGGCCUGAGAGGGUGACCGGCCACACUGGGACUGAGACACGGCCCAGACUCCUACGGGAGGCAGCAGUGGGGAAUAUUGCACAAUGGGCGCAAGCCUGAUGCAGCAACGCCGCGUGAGGGACGACGGCCUUCGGGUUGUAAACCUCUUUUAGCAGGGAAGAAGCGAAAGUGACGGUACCUGCAGAAAAAGCACCGGCUAACUACG
RNAcentral lists this ribosomal RNA (466 nucleotides) under uncultured Microbacteriaceae bacterium. RNAcentral describes it as "bacterial SSU rRNA". It matches the Rfam family "Bacterial small subunit ribosomal RNA", at positions 28 to 505 of the family's 1533-position model. The record is from RNAcentral. Lineage: Bacteria; Bacillati; Actinomycetota; Actinomycetes; Micrococcales; Microbacteriaceae.